GUUGAAGAACGCAGCGAAAUGCGAUAAGUAAUGUGAAUUGCAGGAUUCAGUGAAUCAUCGAAUCUUUGAACGCACAUUGCGCCCGCCAGUAUUCUGGCGGGCAUGCCUGUUCGAGCGUCAUUUCAACCAUCAAGCCCCCGGCUUGUGUUGGGGACCUGCGGCUGCCGCAGGCCCUGAAAACCAGUGGCGGGCUCGCUGUCACACCGAGCGUAGUAGAUUUUCAUCUCGCUCAGGGCGUGCUGCGGGUUCCGGCCGUAAAAAGCCUUAUUUACCCAAGGUUGACCUCGGAUCAGGUAGGAAGACCCGCUGAACUUAAGCAUAUCAAUAAGCGGAGGA
RNAcentral lists this unclassified non-coding RNA (336 nucleotides) under soil metagenome. Its description in RNAcentral is "partial contains 5.8S ribosomal RNA, internal transcribed spacer 2, and large subunit ribosomal RNA". The stretch from base 1 to 120 matches the Rfam family "5.8S ribosomal RNA", at positions 35 to 154 of the family's 154-position model. The record is from RNAcentral.